UACGGAGGGUGCAAGCGUUGUUCGGAAUUACUGGGCGUAAAGCGCGUGUAGGUGGCUUGGCAAGUCGGUUGUGAAAGCCCUGGGCUCAACCCGGGAAAGGCGACCGAAACUACCAAGCUAGAGUCUCGGAGAGGAAGGCAGAAUUCCCAGUGUAGGGGUGAAAUCCGUAGAUACUGGGAGGAAUACCGGUAGCGAAGGCGGCCUUCUGGACGAAGACUGACACUCAGACGCGAAAGCGUGGGGAGCAAACAGG
RNAcentral lists this ribosomal RNA (253 nucleotides) under uncultured bacterium. Its description in RNAcentral is "partial 16S ribosomal RNA". It matches the Rfam family "Bacterial small subunit ribosomal RNA", at positions 524 to 776 of the family's 1533-position model. The record is from RNAcentral.